UGUACAGGUGUGUUUGACCGUUUAAAAAAAACAAAAAACAUAUUCAACUCCAUGUAUCAAAGUGGAGGGAGAUUUAUUAAACAGCUUUGUUGGAAACAAUAACUGUCAACAUGUCCACAGCUGAGGACGUUGACGUUUGCGUGAAUAACUGCAUUUUUUUCCUGUGAUGUGUUUACCCAUCGAAGAUCAAUGCAUUACUCUCUCGAGCUGCUUUUUUUUUUUUCUUCCUCUGAAGCACAAAACAUGCCUAAUAUUUGAUGAGAAGCGGUGACAGGAAGACAAUACGUCUGGGAUGCAGCGCUGCCAGUGUCUGUCUGCUGAAAUCCAUUUUGCAGAAGCUUCUGUUGUCGUCCCCGUGACGCGCCGAAUGGAAGAGAGGGAGGGGGAAUUAACUUAUCAUUAGUAGAGAAUUUUGCAUCACAAGGAGAAGAUUAAACAUAAAGUUUAGUUCAGAAGUUGCUGCGGGUUUCUGUGAGGAAAUAUUCAAGAACGCCUGUUGAUCCACGGUGAAACUAUGGUCCUGUCAGAAACUCCUUCUAUAAUUGACGGUGGGGCAUUGAUGAGCACAAGAUUGUUCCCACAAGAUGCUACAUGAUGACGGUGAAUUAAUCAUGGCGUGGGCACCAACCUGCGUUUCCUCAUGUAGUAUUUAUUCAGCAGGAAGAAAACGUCCAUAUUCUUAAUCCGUCCUACAAAGCUCUGAUUGACCUGGUUGUUGUUGCGACUGACGGAACGGCCUUCCAUAAGAAUGCCAUUGGGAAAUCUGGGAGAUUCAGAGGACAUGACCAAGGCUACGUACAGUAGUUAUUUGACUUCUGAGCAUCGGGUCCAUGUCGGGAUGGCGUCAGCUGAUCUGCACCUCAGCUCAACUUGACCUGCUUCACCUCUGAAAGGAGGAAGACAAAAGUAGAAAAAAAGAAGUGUAAUUUGAAAUAUUAGGCUACUUCCUUUCUGAGGAACUUUGCUGGGUUCCUGCUUAUGGUUCCUGCUCUAUAGCUGACCGUGACCUUUGACCCUUCCUGUGCAUGUAUUGAGCUAUAUUCUUUUUCUUCUCCAGCACAACUAACAAAAGUGUCUUUUCACACUGAUGAAAUAUUUGUAUCACAGAUUUUUGAUUUGUGGUUGUUUGUCAGUUGAACUUAAUUCAGACAGUGAGUUCAUUCACAUGAACUGACACAUUGAUUUGCGAUGUUUAGUUGAAUAUAAUAACUGAUAAAUAUUAUUUUGACAUCA
Seriola aureovittata is the source of this 1233-nucleotide long non-coding RNA. RefSeq lists it as uncharacterized. Lineage: Eukaryota; Metazoa; Chordata; Actinopteri; Carangiformes; Carangidae. The transcript is spliced from 3 exons. The record is from RefSeq and is a predicted model, not a curated record.